This 477-nucleotide ribosomal RNA is filed under the name uncultured bacterium. Its description in RNAcentral is "bacterial SSU rRNA". It matches the Rfam family "Bacterial small subunit ribosomal RNA", at positions 29 to 507 of the family's 1533-position model. The record is from RNAcentral.
AUGAACGCUAGCGGCAGGCUUAACACAUGCAAGUCGAGGGGUAUAGGUUUUCGGACCUAGAGACCGGCGCACGGGUGCGUAACGCGUAUGCAAUCUACCUUUCACAGAGGGAUAGCCCAGAGAAAUUUGGAUUAAUACCUCAUAGUAUUAUAGAAUGGCAUCAUUUUAUAAUUAAAGUCACAACGGUGAAAGAUGAGCCAUGCGUCCAUUAGCUAGUUGGUAUGGUAACGGCAUACCAAGGCAACGAUGGGUAGGGGUCCUGAGAGGGAGAUCCCCCACACUGGUACUGAGACACGGACCAGACUCCUACGGGAGGCAGCAGUGAGGAAUAUUGGUCAAUGGGCGCAAGCCUGAACCAGCCAUGCCGCGUGCAGGAUGACGGUCCUAUGGAUUGUAAACUGCUUUUGCACAGGAAGAAACAACGCUACGUGUAGCGUCUUGACGGUACUGUGAGAAUAAGGAUCGGCUAACUCCGUG